RNAcentral lists this ribosomal RNA (477 nucleotides) under uncultured bacterium. Its description in RNAcentral is "partial 16S ribosomal RNA". It matches the Rfam family "Bacterial small subunit ribosomal RNA", at positions 29 to 523 of the family's 1533-position model. The record is from RNAcentral.
AGUGAACGCUGGCGGCGUGCCUAACACAUGCAAGUCGAACGAUGAUGGAGGAGCUUGCUCUUCCUGAUUAGUGGCGCACGGGUGAGUAAUGCAUAGAUAAUGUGCCCCUUAGUUCGGGAUAGCCACUGGAAACGGUGAUUAAUACCGGAUACUCCUUCUUAUCAUAAGAUAAGUCGGGAAAGUUUUUCGCUAAGGGAUCAGUCUAUGUUCCAUCAGUUAGUUGGUGAGGUAACGGCUCACCAAGACAAUGACGGAUAUCUGGUUUGAGAGGAUGAUCAGACACACUGGAACUGAGACACGGACCAGACUCCUACGGGAGGCAGCAGUGAGGAAUAUUGCACAAUGGAGGAAACUCUGAUGCAGCAACGCCGCGUGGAGGAUGACGCAUUUCGGUGUGUAAACUCCUUUUAUUAGGGAAGAUUAUGACGGUACCUAAUGAAUAAGCACCGGCUAACUCCGUGCCAGCAGCCGCCGUAA